Suricata suricatta (meerkat) is the source of this 310-nucleotide long non-coding RNA. RefSeq lists it as uncharacterized. The transcript has 2 exons. Lineage: Eukaryota; Metazoa; Chordata; Mammalia; Carnivora; Herpestidae. The record is from RefSeq and is a predicted model, not a curated record.
CCUGGGAGAAAGCAGCCAGGAGUAAGAGCCACCACCUAGUCACAAGGCGUGGAAAAUCACACAUUCAGGAACAUAAUUGAAUGUAAAACAUGCCUCCCACCCUUCACCCAGACUUCUCUGAAGUUGGGCUUUUGACAUCGAUUUUCCCAGCUCAGGAUCAAGUAUAGCAUCGCUGAAGAUCGCCAAACUGCUGUUUAGACAUUUUAAAGAUGCAAUUUGAGUUCCAGUCAGGGGAAAGGGGUGGAUAAAAGAGAUUAUAUGAUAAUGAUAUGGCUGUGGAAGUCUGUCGAAUAAAGUGCAUUUUCUCUGG